UGGGGCCUGUAACAGAAGGUAUGUUGC
RNAcentral lists this non-coding RNA (27 nucleotides) under Mus musculus (house mouse). Lineage: Eukaryota; Metazoa; Chordata; Mammalia; Rodentia; Muridae. The record is from RNAcentral.